CCGAGGCAAACACAGCACAGGGCAGAGCAGAGGGCGAUCCAAAGGCUGGCGAAUUGAUUAUGUGUGUGUUUGUGUUCUCCGUCUGUGGGUUUGUCUCCGUUUUGGGCACACGAAACUGCAAGUAACGGCUAUGUUAGAGCAGGCGUCCCUCUGUCACCCUGUGUACGGACAGACGCACUCACGCCAGUAGGAGGGGAUUGUGGGAAGGGGGUGUAGCUCACAGAGGGUGUGCUCUACUCCUCUCUUUUCCCUUCUUCCCGCCAUCACGGCCCUCUUCUCCUCCAGUCCUCCGGCCCAGCCCGGCGCUCACGUACAGGCUCCAGGUAUUUUUCUUUUUUAUCCUGCGACACCUCUUCCCAUCUUUUUCACAGCCCUAUAAUCUUCUCUUUCAGUCCUCUCGCACUCUUCUCUGUCCUUCAUCAUGGUCUUCCUACUGUAAAUGUGUCUAUCGUCGUCCGGUGCCACGCUGUACUCCAAUCGCCGCCAUUUUGGCUCAAUGGACAUAACAGUAGGAACUUUUCUGGAGCUCAGAGGGACUCCUCGACUCCCUGCUGUCCAUCUUCUUUCUCCUGCUUCCAUUAUGUCUUAUUUCUCUGUCCCUGUCGCCCACUUCCUCUCCCCGGUCUGCUCGAGGUCAGCAGGCUCUGACAGGGAGGUAAACAGUGGUACUGUGGCUUUCUGUACCAAACAGGUGACUCUAUGUAGACUGGCAGGAGGAGGGAAAGGCCCUUGGUUACUUUCUGACCUCAGAAUGUCGACCGAGAGAGUUGUUGUUGGGUUCACGUCAGCACCAGACUAUCUGCGGUCAAAGGACAAGUGGGACACUUGGAAGUCUCUUAUCAUCGCGAGCCGUUGUGAUAGCUCGUACAGAGGCAGUAUUGACUUUGUUUCCCUUCACACGCUGCUUGCACUUUAGGCCACUGUUAAAAUUCAAAUAUGUGGCAGUAUUUUCACAGUUUGUUUGUUUGUGCUUGACUUUUAUAUUUCUGAAAUCUCAAGGUGUGACAGUUGGUUAAAAGGUGGUGACUGCCUUGACCCACUGCGUCGGAGGUUACUGUGUACGAAGCUUUGCACUUCAGAGGAAACUGAUGCAGAUAUGAAACCGAGAGGUGAAACAGACCGCUAAAAGGAAAUGUUUACUGUUGUUGUUCUGCAGUAGAUCAUCUAAUUUAAUCAGUGAAGCUGUUGAUUUAUUUUUAUAGAAGAAAGCAUAGAGUAGCAUUUGUCAGAUUGAUAUGUCGUACUCAGAAAUCUUUGGAUUUUAACCUGCAUUUCUGACUUCAGUCUGAAGUUAGAGGCCUGUAUACCCUGAAACAGGAACAUAGUAUCAAUGUCUGUAUGAGUCAAAACAGGAUAUGCAAAUGAACGAAAAACCAAUUUGAUCUUUCAGGUACUCUCACUGGACUGCCUAAUGUUAAUACUUUAUCUGGAUCUAAAUACGGUUCCAUGUUAAGAUGGCGCCUUCGUGCCACGUGUUUGUGAAACUGUGAAUAUGGGCAGACCCUUUCAACAUGCCCCUCACAAUUCAUGGCUAUUUGACUAAUAAUUCUCUGGCUUCAGCAACUGUGACUUGAAAUCAGCAUUGACAUUCGACAGCUAAAUAAUUAACAAAAAAAUAACCUUUCUUCAUGUAUAUCGACAUGACAGUGACGCGAGGAAAAGGUUAAGAAAGUAGAAGCUGUAGAAAAACAGAGAGAACAAGGGUUACAGAGACAGAAAGAGAGGUAGGAGUGAGAGAGCUCUUUCCCCGCCCCUCUCUUAUCCUCAGAUGAACUUAUCGUGUUGCCUCAUAAUGUUUCUGAGUUUUUCUCCUAGAGGCAGUCAGGCUUACUUCCUGCAUUCAGCCUCAGCAUAGCUGAUUGGUUGAUAUCUUGGCUGACCAGCUGCGGUUUGCAGCGAGGCAACAGGAAGUUUCUCUUCUCAUGCAGGAAGCUGACGCUGCUUUGUCCUGACAUAACCUGAUUUCCCUCUUGUACGCUAAUCUUUGUAUACGAGCACAAAUAUGCAUGCACACCCUGUAUGUGAGCGUUUGUUUGUAUGGCCUGCUCUGUGUUGCACUAGUGAAGGCUGUAACAUGUGGGCGUCUAGCAACAUGCCAGGCCAGGCAUCUGAGCUUUCAGAAACAUUUGAAACCAUGGUAACCACACAUCUCAUCAGCACAUCGGCAAAAGCAUAGACAAGUGGAGAAGAGGAGAGGGCAUAGAGAGAGUAAAUGAAGAGGAGGAGGUAAACCUUUGAUCUACAUUAUCUUCGUUCAGUGGUUUUGGAAACACAUCUGGCCAUCUGGGUAAUUGCAGGCUAUACUUUAGCUAAUACACCAAUGACUCGGAUAUUCCUCCUAAUUUCUUUUAUCAAAUAAUACCUCUCAUUCUCUCAAAUAAAACCCUAUUUAUAUACGUAUUAAAAUGCAUUUUCUAUAGUUACAUACCAAAUCUUGUAGAUUUAGCAGAGUGUGUGCCCUGCCACCUAUUUUCAUACUCAUUUCAACGCAGCUCCACUUCUAUGGUUAAAAUGAUUGUUGAUAGUCAAAACAAGGGCUGCCUUAUAGUCCUGUUUUAUCUUGGGCAUACUAUCCUUUUAUCAAACACGUUGCCUGACAUGUUCACCUUGCUCUGAUGCCUUUGAGCCUUGUGUGGAGCCCUUUACUUUGCAUCACAGAGCAGUCGAUGGCAAAGGACCGGAAGCAUUUUUUAUUUAAUCAGGCUUUAAUAAAUCAGGAUCAGAUACAAUUAGCUUCUUUCAUGUACACAGGUUAAGCAACUGUGCUGUGUCUUCCAGUGUGUGUAACUCCAUGCAUAUGGCAGCGUAUAUCCGUAUACAUGCAAAUACACGAGCAUGAGCCUUAUGUGUUUGCGCUUAGUUAAUGAGGAUAUACAGAACAUCAGAGUGGGCACCUUGCCAAGUGGGAAGACGCUCAGAGCUCCUGUCCUUCGUCCUUUAAUGUAGGAAGCUGGCAUUCCUCAGGGAGUGAGGAAGAUGAAAAAGCAUGUACAAUAAAAUCACCAUAUCGCUCCUCUGAGGAUCAGCCCUCUCUUUCGUAUCUGCCAUAUGCCUCGAUACUAUUUUUUUCUCCAGAGUAAGACUGGACACGAGUAAGACAAGACAUCCAUUUGCAUCUUUUUAGCUGUGGGAAUUCUUAAUUCUGCCGUUUAUUGUGUGGCAUACUUCCUCUGCCAACUCCAGCUCCCCCACUGCUCCUCCUCCUCUUUGCCCACCAUCACCACCUCCUUCCUCCCUUAUUGAAAUUCUGCCUGGCACACAGACACUGCCCAUUAUUGGCACAAAGCUCAGAGAGAGAGAGAGAGAGAGAAACACAGGAACCUGUACCAAUCGUCUGGUGCCCCCUCCGUUGUGUCUGCCAAGCAUUCAUCCCAUCACGCGGACCAAGGGACCAGGCAAUCCAAUAGGUAUUUCCCUGCCUUUGCUUCCUGCUCAAAUUUGCUCCAAUUCUGAGGAGUUUUGUUGGCAACUGAGUCUGCUGUGUGUGUUUGGGGAUUCGCUGAUUAAUUUGUGUGUUUACGUCGUUUGUAUUGGGUGAGGAAUGAAUCCGCGAAACCUGCAUCCUCCAACAGUGUCGGGAGGAAGCUACGGCCUAUUGCUUCCACAAUGCGAUUUGAUUCUCGCAUGGGUUUGGAUGUGCUAUAGAUGAUGAAGUUGCAGUGUUUCUUUGUGUGUUUUGAUAGAACAGCAUGUUGAUGUAAAAAGUCAGUAGAAUAAUCGUUUAGCAGGCAGGCAUUUUUAUUUUAACUAAGUCGAUAUUUUGAUCUUUUUUUGUAGGUGUUCACUUUUGAAUUUUCUCAAAAGCCCUUCAUAUUUUAUAGUUGUGUCAGUGUUAUACAAAUGUACUCAUUUAAAACCAAUGUCUUGUGUUGAAUGCCGGAAUUAGAUUUAGGUAGGGGCUUGAUAGAUGUUGUUGCUGUAGAUCUGUUUAUUAUAGAAAUUACAUUUCCAGUGCUACAACUGACAUGGGGUCUUAGAAAACCCAGAAGAAACAUGUGUAACUGUUAACAAGAGAUAGAUCCUGAAACAGGAAAUUGUAUCCAGAAAAACAUAUCCUGGUUGGUCACAGCAGAGCUGCUUUAUCAAAGGGCAGGAGAGGACAUAACUUGCUAAUAUGAAUUUACUACCAUUUAGCUGUAAUUCUGCUGUGACGGAUGCACAGACAGACUGUCUGAUAGGCAGAUGAGAUUAACUCAAUAGGCCUCUUUUUUUCUUUCCCCUGUCUUUCUUUUAAGAUCCUCUGAGCUGCCCCACUGGCUGAAGGCUCAUUUAUUUUGGAGCUGUUGACAGAGAAAAUGAUUUGCCCCACCAAGCCUUGUGUGCCCCUUUUAUGUGCCAUGGACAAAGUCCACCAUCACAGACAGCGCCCAAUAGAGAUCACAUUACUGACCGAGAUUGGCCUCUGUGUUUGCUAAACAGUCGGGAGUUGUGCAGGGAAACAGAUGCCAAUUUUCGCAAUUAACCCAGAAGCACAACAUUCCCCACUAGUGUUUAAUGUGUAUGCAUUUUUCAUUGGAGGCCAUGCUCAGUCCUGUUAAAUCUUCAUUAGUUUGACCAAUUUCCCCCCAGUACACUGUGUCAUCUCACUAUUAGUCUGUCUUCCAAAUACAGCUCCAGUCAAGGGACGUUUCCCGGCGACCGAACAGAGCUCGUAGAUCUGUCACUGGCACGGUGGCAGAGUUGGGCAUCAUGCCAACACACCCCCACCCCCUUCUGUCUGUCUGGUCUUCUUUAAUCAGACUAGCAGGGUCUACUGCAUGCUAACUAUAGGCUGGCCUGGACCAUGUCUCAGGGGUUGUGGCUGUAUGCUAAUUUAUGCAAGCAGUGUACCUCCUAACCCCUUCUCUGUCUAUCUGAGGCCAAGGUCUGGCAUUUUAGUCUGGCACUCGUUAACCCUUCAGUAGCUGCCAUGUUAACUGGCUGGCCCAUCCCAACCUUUAUCCCAUAAGAGUGGAGUAUUUAGCUGUCUGACGGGGAGCCUAGUCUCAAAUAGCGAGAUUAAUACAAGUUAAGAAAUCAACUUGUUUAGUGCCAACUUUUUGAUCGAAACGAGGGCGGAUCUGUUAAUCGCACCAGUGGCAUAUAUGUACUCCUCCUCUGUGAACUUUUCCUCUGUCUGAUAAGUAUUGUUACAGUUUUUCUCUUACUUUGUAUCCGUGACUGUGAGCGCAUCGUUCGGUCUCUUGGCUUCGUCUCUGUGCUUGGCACAAGAUUGAUUCUCCAUCACAGACACUUUUUCUUCAUCGUGAGAUAGCGUCCUCGGAAAAAAAAGCGGAAAGGUGGACCUUCUAGUGUUUUUAAGCAGAACUAAAAUGGCCGAUGAACGAGACGCCAUUUUGUGUUUCCUUGUUGUGUUUUGGGGGGCAGAAUCCCAGCCUUGUAUUCAAUCAGAGGCAGCUGGUGGAAGCCAUAUUUGCAGGCAUCUGUGUGUGUACCACCGUCUGAGAAGCAGCAGCCAGCCUACACAGGGAUAGCCCACUGAAAUGAGCUCAGUUUUUGGCCAAAAACGGAAACGAAUUCCUGGCACAGAGUCGAGCAUUUUUUUUUUCUCUCUUUCGAUCACAUCCAAGUCUCAGGAAGCCAGUGAGUUGUUUGUUGGGCUUUUACACAUUAGUGCUCUCACUUUCCGAUGUCUGCUAACCGUUAAAUAAUUUGUCUUUCAUUUAUUUUAAUGGAACAAAUUCCUUUAAGACAUUUAACACUGUAUCAAAAAAAAGAAGCUGGGUUUAAUGGUGAAAAUGUGCCGAUAAACAUAAUCAUCUUUUGUUUAGAUUCAUAGACAUUUCUCUAAAAUCUUUUAAAGAAUUGUUGUCAUGAAGCAAUUUUCAGACAUAAGUUGUUUUAUUAAACGAGUUCCAGGAACACAGAAAUUAAACUGAAAUACAAUUAAGCUCUUUGAGUUGGGACCGUCUAAAAUGUAAUGUAAAUAUACACUCAAAAAGGCAGUACUACCCAGUUUUACCUGGCAUGUAUCUUACAGAGAAUAAUGAAGAUAACCCCCCCCUGUCUUUUUUUCUAUGUACCAUUGCAGGAAAAUGACCUUUGAGGAUCUUUGAUGCAGAAGCAAUGUGGAUGCUGUCCUUGGGGCUGAGGUAGUAGAUUGAAUAGUUGUGGGGUUGUGUAACCUCUUUUUGAGAUAACUAUACAAUCUACUGUCUUUCCCAAGGAGACAGCUGAGUCAGCCACUCACCGACUGUCUUCUCCAGAUGGGCAAUCCCGCUUCCAAUCAAAACUUGGAGUUGUCAACAUAUUGUGAAGCAUUGUUAUCUGUGUGCUUGAACAGGUUAAUUAGGUUUGAUGUUCCCGAAUAGGAUGUGGACGUGUGGUGUGUUUGAUUCGGGCUCUUUCAGGGUGAGGUAGUAGGUUGUAUAGUUUGGUGGGUGGGACUGCACCCUGCUCAGGUGAUAACUAUACAGUCUAUUGCCUUCCCUGAGGAGUCCACUGAACAUGAUUCCUCAACACACUCUCAUUUUUGUAUCACAUUUAUUUGUAGAUAACAGGAAGAAAGAGCAAGUUAUAUGAGCAGCACAAAUGUACACAUGAAAUAAUUGAGGCUGUAAAAUGACUGAUAUAUGUACAUCUGUAUAAAGUCUUACUUGACUAAAAUGGGUUGUUCAAUAAUCAGUGAAUGUGAAAGUGUUUUGUCAACUAUUCUGAUGGUGUGAUAGUUUGUGUACAACAGCAGCUAGUGAUUGUGUUAGUCUACAGCAUCCUCUAGUGGAAACUAAUGAGAUAGCUUUGAUACAAAUAAAGUCAGCAGACAAGGAGCAGGCACUGAUUGUAAUGGCAAGUAAGAGAAUGCAUUUUUUUCAAACAAACAAACACUCUCUGGCUGCCAGUAGUUUCCCAGUUGUUUAUGUGUAAUAAAGUCUCAAAUAUUU
Long non-coding RNA from Trematomus bernacchii (emerald rockcod), 6881 nucleotides. RefSeq lists it as uncharacterized. Lineage: Eukaryota; Metazoa; Chordata; Actinopteri; Perciformes; Nototheniidae. The record is from RefSeq and is a predicted model, not a curated record. The transcript has 2 exons.